RNAcentral lists this ribosomal RNA (638 nucleotides) under Escherichia coli. Its description in RNAcentral is "partial 23S ribosomal RNA". It matches the Rfam family "Bacterial large subunit ribosomal RNA", at positions 2198 to 2831 of the family's 2925-position model. Lineage: Bacteria; Pseudomonadati; Pseudomonadota; Gammaproteobacteria; Enterobacterales; Enterobacteriaceae. The record is from RNAcentral.
UACCACCCUUUAAUGUUUGAUGUUCUAACGUUGGCCCGUAAUCCGGGUUGCGGACAGUGUCUGGUGGGUAGUUUGACUGGGGCGGUCUCCUCCUAAAGAGUAACGGAGGAGCACGAAGGUUGGCUAAUCCUGGUCGGACAUCAGGAGGUUAGUGCAAUGGCAUAAGCCAGCUUGACUGCGAGCGUGACGGCGCGAGCAGGUGCGAAAGCAGGUCAUAGUGAUCCGGUGGUUCUGAAUGGAAGGGCCAUCGCUCAACGGAUAAAAGGUACUCCGGGGAUAACAGGCUGAUACCGCCCAAGAGUUCAUAUCGACGGCGGUGUUUGGCACCUCGAUGUCGGCUCAUCACAUCCUGGGGCUGAAGUAGGUCCCAAGGGUAUGGCUGUUCGCCAUUUAAAGUGGUACGCGAGCUGGGUUUAGAACGUCGUGAGACAGUUCGGUCCCUAUCUGCCGUGGGCGCUGGAGAACUGAGGGGGGCUGCUCCUAGUACGAGAGGACCGGAGUGGACGCAUCACUGGUGUUCGGGUUGUCAUGCCAAUGGCACUGCCCGGUAGCUAAAUGCGGAAGAGAUAAGUGCUGAAAGCAUCUAAGCACGAAACUUGCCCCGAGAUGAGUUCUCCCUGACUCCUUGAGGGUCCUGA